AGGAAUUCUCAUAAAGUACCACGGUGUCUGAGUAAUAACAUUCUCUAAGUCACGGAAUGUCAGGAAGUUCCAUUUUCUCUGUGACCUACAAUAUAAAAAAAAAAUCUAUUCACUGAGUAUGGUGGAGAAAGGGUUUCUGAGGUGAAUCCUGAGGGAAUCUGCUCUUCAAUAGAACAACUGAGCCAGGUUUUCUUCUGCAAACUGAACAUCACGGUGAGUCCAUUUUCAGAGAGAAGAACGAGGAAAAGGAAGAAGGUGACAGGACAUGAAUGCACAGAAGGAGGGAGAGGAGACGGAGUUGGGCAAUGCUCUUUGGAAAUGUCAAGGCAGUUGGAAGAGUUGGAAGGUUGCUUUUAUCGUGAGCAUGUAUACGACGCAAAUAAGAGAGGAGAAAAAAAAAACAGGAAAAGCAAGAGACUGGCUUGGAAAAUGGUAAUGAAGAAGCAGUUCAGUGAUAAUCACCUCAACUACUGGAGACUGAGAAGCAAAUCUACCACAAAAAGGCAGAAAAAUACAGAUUCAGAAAGGAAAAAAAAACAGACUGACUAAAACCAACCAACAAAAAUGAACAAGCCACCCAAUAGCUCCAUCUCCUAAUAAAUAAAUAAAUAAACAAACAAAUAAAUAAUAAAUAAAUAAAUAAAUCUUAUCUCUGAUCACUAACGG
Molecule: long non-coding RNA, 666 nt
Filed under: Rattus norvegicus (Norway rat)
Lineage: Eukaryota; Metazoa; Chordata; Mammalia; Rodentia; Muridae
Description: long non-coding RNA NONRATT032832
Source: RNAcentral